GAUGAACGCUGGCGGCGUGCCUAAUACAUGCAAGUCGAGCGAACAGACGAGGAGCUUGCUCCUCUGACGUUAGCGGCGGACGGGUGAGUAACACGUGGAUAACCUACCUAUAAGACUGGGAUAACUUCGGGAAACCGGAGCUAAUACCGGAUAAUAUAUUGAACCGCAUGGUUCAAUAGUGAAAGACGGUUUUGCUGUCACUUAUAGAUGGAUCCGCGCCGCAUUAGCUAGUUGGUAAGGUAACGGCUUACCAAGGCGACGAUGCGUAGCCGACCUGAGAGGGAGAUCGGCCACACUGGAUGUGAGACACGGUCCAGACUCCUACGGGAGGCAGCAGUAGGGAAUCUUACGCAAUGGGGGAGAGCCUGACGGAGCAACGCCGCGUGAGUGAUGAAGGUCUUCGGAUCGUAAAACUCUGUUAUUAGUGAAGAACAAAUGUGUAAGUAACUAUGAACGUCUUGACGGUACCUAAUCAGAAAGCCACGGCUAACUACGUG
This 497-nucleotide ribosomal RNA is filed under the name uncultured bacterium. RNAcentral's name for it is "partial 16S ribosomal RNA". It matches the Rfam family "Bacterial small subunit ribosomal RNA", at positions 28 to 507 of the family's 1533-position model. The record is from RNAcentral.